UACGUAGGGUGCAAGCGUUAUCCGGAAUUAUUGGGCGUAAAGAGCUUGUAGGCGGUUUGUCGCGUCUGCUGUGAAAAUCCGGGGCUCAACCCCGGACUUGCAGUGGGUACGGGCAGACUAGAGUGUGGUAGGGGGAGACUGGAAUUCCUGGUGUAGCGGUGAAAUGCGUAGAUAUCAAGUGGAACACCAGUGGCGAAGGCGAGUCCCUGGACAUUUCCUGACACUGGAGGCACGAAAGCUAGGGGAGCAAACAGG
This 255-nucleotide ribosomal RNA is filed under the name uncultured bacterium. RNAcentral's name for it is "partial 16S ribosomal RNA". It matches the Rfam family "Bacterial small subunit ribosomal RNA", at positions 524 to 776 of the family's 1533-position model. The record is from RNAcentral.